GACGAACGCUGGCGGCGUGCUUAACACAUGCAAGUCGAACGAAGAGCGAUGGAAGCUUGCUUCUAUCAAUCUUAGUGGCGAACGGGUGGGUAACGCGUAAUCAACCUGCCCUUCAGAGGGGGACAACAGUUGGAAACGACUGCUAAUACCGCAUACGAUCUAAUCUCGGCAUCGAGGAAAGAUGAAAGGUGGCCUCUAUUUAUAAGCUAUCACUGAAGGAGGGGAUUGCGUCUGAUUAGCUAGUUGGAGGGGUAACGGCCCACCAAGGCGAUGAUCAGUAGCCGGUCUGAGAGGAUGAACGGCCACAUUGGGACUGAGACACGGCCCAGACUCCUACGGGAGGCAGCAGUGGGGAAUCUUCCGCAAUGGACGAAAGUCUGACGGAGCAACGCCGCGUGAGUGAUGACGGCCUUCGGGUUGUAAAGCUCUGUUAAUCGGGACGAAAGGCCUUCUUGCGAACAGUUAGAAGGAUUGACGGUACCGGAAGAGAAAGCCACGGCUAACUACGUG
RNAcentral lists this ribosomal RNA (510 nucleotides) under uncultured bacterium. RNAcentral's name for it is "partial 16S ribosomal RNA". It matches the Rfam family "Bacterial small subunit ribosomal RNA", at positions 28 to 507 of the family's 1533-position model. The record is from RNAcentral.